Molecule: ribosomal RNA, 526 nt
Filed under: uncultured bacterium
Lineage: Bacteria
Description: bacterial SSU rRNA
Rfam family: Bacterial small subunit ribosomal RNA
Source: RNAcentral
ACAUCCAGAGAACUUAGCAGAGAUGCUUUGGUGCCUUCGGGAACUCUGAGACAGGUGCUGCAUGGCUGUCGUCAGCUCGUGUUGUGAAAUGUUGGGUUAAGUCCCGCAACGAGCGCAACCCUUUAUCCUUUGUUGCCAGCGGUCCGGCCGGGAACUCAAAGGAGACUGCCAGUGAUAAACUGGAGGAAGGUGGGGAUGACGUCAAGUCAUCAUGGCCCUUACGAGUAGGGCUACACACGUGCUACAAUGGCGCAUACAAAGAGAAGCGACCUCGCGGGAGCAAGCGGACCUCAUAAAGUGCGUCGUAGUCCGGAUUGGAGUCUGCAACUCGACUCCAUGAAGUCGGAAUCGCUAGUAAUCGUAGAUCAGAAUGCUACGGUGAAUACGUUCCCGGGCCUUGUACACACCGCCCGUCACACCAUGGGAGUGGGUUGCAAAAGAAGUAGGUAGCUUAACCUUCGGGAGGGCGCUUACCACUUUGUGAUUCAUGACUGGGGUGAAGUCGUAACAAGGUAAGCGUACGUGU